RNAcentral lists this long non-coding RNA (1524 nucleotides) under Rattus norvegicus (Norway rat). RNAcentral describes it as "long non-coding RNA NONRATT030518". The record is from RNAcentral. Lineage: Eukaryota; Metazoa; Chordata; Mammalia; Rodentia; Muridae.
CUCUUGGAUGCCCUGGUGAAGCCAACAACUGUGAGUACUAUUCAUUGCUCAGGAUAUCAGGAGGGAAGAGAUUCAGUGACAUGGGGCAAUAACGAAGCAGAUAAAGUGGCUCGAAAAAUGGUUAUGCAGGAGCCCAUCCUGGUUGCAGGCCUGCAAGAGACAGCCACUGGGAACUGGGAUCGGACUAAGGGAUGGCCUCACUUAGAAAAGGCCCAAAUUGCUUAAAAGAUAAAGGACAAUGGCACAUUGAGGGGAAAGCUAUACUUCCCAGAGAACAAAGAAAAGACUCACUUUGCCAAAUACAGAAAUGGACUCAAUUAGGAGAUAAAAAGUUUGUCCAAGUAGUUAAGUGUAUGUAAUAGACUUUAAGAUUUUAGCCAGAGAGACAGUAGAAAGUAUAAGGUAUGUCAAUAAGUGAAUGCUUAGCAAGCAAACAGGGCAAAGAGACCUAGAGAGUUUGGUGAAAAGUCGAAGUGAACUUCACUGAGAUAAAACCAGAAAAAUAUAAUCACAAGUAUCUCCUAGUGCUUGUAGAUACUUUUUCAGGAAUAGAUAGAAGCUUUCCUCACCAAACAAGAGACGGCCUCUGCAAUCAUCAAGAAGAUACUGGAAGAAAUCUUCCUCCGAUUUGGAAUGCCCAAGGUAAUCUGGUCAGACAACGGCCCUACUUUCGUUGCCAAGGUAAGCCAGGGUGUGGCCAAGUAUUUAGAGGUCAAUUGGAAAUUACAUUGUAUUUACAGACCUCAAAGUUCAGGACAGGUAGGGUAAAUAAAUAGAACUCUAAAAGAGACCCUGACCAAAUUAACCAUGGAGACUGGCACAGACUGGGUGACACUCCUUCCCUCUUGCUCUCUUCAGAGCAAGAAAUACCCCUUCCAGAUUCAGCCUUACCCCCUUUGAGAUCUUAUAUGGGGCCUCAGCCCCCCUGACUGUAUUAGAUGAUGUUACUGAACCAACAUGUCAUAGUGCCAUAGUAAUAAUGAUUUGUGUGCCAGGCUAAAAGACCUACAGGUGAUACAGAAAGAAAUCUGCUCACAGCUGACAGCAGCCUAUGCCCCGGAGACCCCUGAGACAUCCCAUCAGUUCCAGGUUGCAGCUACACUGAGUCCAGACACUCGAGCCUCGCUGGAAAGGACCGUACCUGGUGCUGCUGACCACCCUGACAGCUGUCAAUUCUCAGCCCUCACCAGCCGUGUACUAGCUGUUGGGGCUGAGAGCUGGGACCUAGAGGGAAAUUCAGUCAUGUUUGUCCUGGGUUCUAUCAAGAUAGGUGUGGGAUAGGCUUGAUUUCCAUUACAAAUGAUGUAACAUUGCAUAUGUUAGUACUCUUAACACUUCUUGGGACUGUGCCUCAGGGAUCACAGUCCGUAUAAGCUUAGAAGUUCUAAAAGCUAGUCAUGACCUUGGUGUGCAGGUUUAGAUAGUGUCCAGGUUAGAAUCCUCAUGUUAAGACUACAAUACCAAGCUGUUAUGCUAGAUGAAGCUGAGUUCUCCAUGAAGUUCUAGGAUUAGAACUAUUAACAA